UACGUAGGUGGCAAGCGUUGUCCGGAUUUACUGGGCGUAAAGAGCGCGCAGGCGGUCGUACAAGUCGCGUGUGAAAGCCCCCGGCUCAACUGGGGAGGGUCACGCGAUACUGUUCGACUCGAAGGCAGGAGAGGGAAGCGGAAUUCCCGGUGUAGUGGUGAAAUGCGUAGAUAUCGGGAGGAACACCAGUGGCGAAGGCGGCUUCCUGGCCUGUUCUUGACGCUGAGGCGCGAAAGCUAGGGUAGCAAACGGGG
Molecule: ribosomal RNA, 254 nt
Filed under: uncultured bacterium
Lineage: Bacteria
Description: partial 16S ribosomal RNA
Rfam family: Bacterial small subunit ribosomal RNA
Source: RNAcentral